Molecule: ribosomal RNA, 820 nt
Filed under: Albifimbria verrucaria
Lineage: Eukaryota; Fungi; Ascomycota; Sordariomycetes; Hypocreales; Stachybotryaceae
Description: partial large subunit ribosomal RNA
Rfam family: Eukaryotic large subunit ribosomal RNA
Source: RNAcentral
AUUGCCUCAGUAACGGCGAGUGAAGCGGCAACAGCUCAAAUUUGAAAUCUGGCCCUAGGCCCGAGUUGUAAUUUGCAGAGGAUGCUUUUGGCAAGGUGCCUUCCGAGUUCCCUGGAACGGGACGCCAUAGAGGGUGAGAGCCCCGUCUGGUCGGACACCGAGCCUCUGUAAAGCUCCUUCGACGAGUCGAGUAGUUUGGGAAUGCUGCUCAAAAUGGGAGGUAUAUGUCUUCUAAAGCUAAAUACCGGCCAGAGACCGAUAGCGCACAAGUAGAGUGAUCGAAAGAUGAAAAGCACUUUGAAAAGAGAGUUAAAUAGCACGUGAAAUUGUUGAAAGGGAAGCGUUUAUGACCAGACUUGGCCCGGUUGAUCAUCCAGCCUUCUGGCUGGUGCACUCUGCCGGUCCAGGCCAGCAUCAGUUCGCCGCGGGGGAUAAAGGUUUCGGGAAUGUAGCUCCUCCGGGAGUGUUAUAGCCCGUUGCGUAAUACCCUGCGGUGGACUGAGGUCCGCGCUCUGCAAGGAUGCUGGCGUAAUGGUCAUCAACGACCCGUCUUGAAACACGGACCAAGGAGUCGUCUUCGUAUGCGAGUGUUCGGGUGUAAAACCCCUACGCGUAAUGAAAGUGAACGCAGGUGAGAGCUUCGGCGCAUCAUCGACCGAUCCUGAUGUUCUCGGAUGGAUUUGAGUAAGAGCAUACGGGGCCGGACCCGAAAGAAGGUGAACUAUGCCUGUAUAGGGUGAAGCCAGAGGAAACUCUGGUGGAGGCUCGCAGCGGUUCUGACGUGCAAAUCGAUCGUCAAAUAUGGGCAUGGGGGCGAAAG